RNAcentral lists this ribosomal RNA (559 nucleotides) under uncultured bacterium. RNAcentral describes it as "bacterial SSU rRNA". It matches the Rfam family "Bacterial small subunit ribosomal RNA", at positions 777 to 1346 of the family's 1533-position model. The record is from RNAcentral.
AAUAGAUACCCGGGUAGUCCACGCCGUAAACGAUGAGUACUAGGGGUAGGGGGUAUCGACCCCCUCUGUCCCGAAGCCAACGCGAUAAGUACUCCGCCUGGGGACUACGGCCGCAAGGCUAAAACUCAAAGGAAUUGACGAGGGCCCGCACAAGCAGCGGAGCGUGUGGUUUAAUUCGAUGAUACGCGAAGAACCUCACCCAGGUUUGACAUGCAUGUGGUACCGAUCCGAAAGGUGAAGGACCCUUCGGGGAGCAUGCACAGGUGUUGCACGGCCGUCGUCAGCUCGUGCCGUGAGGUGUUGGGUUAAGUCCCGCAACGAGCGCAACCCCUGUCGCCAGUUGUAUUUUUCUGGCGAGACUGCCGAGAAAACCUCGGAGGAAGGAGGGGACGAUGUCAGGUCAGCGUGGCCCUUACGCCUGGGGCUACACACACGCUACAAUGGGUGGUACAACGGGUUGCCAAGCCGCGAGGUGGAGCUAAUCCCGAUCAAAGCCAUCCCCAGUUCGGAUUGUAGGCUGAAACCCGCCUGCAUGAAGCCGGAGUUGCUAGUAACCGCG